GAGCCAAGCAGGACCCUGUCCCAGAGCAAGAGAUGUCCCCUUCCAUCUCUGACCCUUGCCUGGGACAAGCCUUGUUGGGGCGCCCCAGCUUCAGGGUUGUGGUGGGAACAGCACCCCCAAAUGCCAGCCUCUCCUUUCUUCCCAUCCACCAGUUCACUGUGGGGCCAUUUCUGGUCUUUGUGCAACAGGAAACCCAUUUCUGGUGGGAGAUGCCUUCCAGUGCCACAGGGCCACUCACCCCAUGCAUCUCUGUCCUGCCCAUCAGUGCUGGGACGGACAGCAAGGGCAAGCCCGGUGUCUGGCGGAUAGGUGGGUGGGAACAGACAGGAGAAUGCUGUCCUAAGCCUCUGCUUGGGGAUCCCCCACACGGCCUGGGUACUGCCUGGGAAACCUGUCCUAAGUAAAACUAUGGGCCUCGCCUCGCCCACUGGCCUACGAAGCCAGCAUCUCCGUGAAGGUGGAUGGAAGCGCCUUUGUCCUCAUUUUGAGCUGCAAGCUGGGUCAGCGGCUUCUGAAGCCCUCAAGUGACUUUCUAACCCAAGACCCAGCCACUGGCAGGAGGAGGGCAGGUGCAGGGCUACUGGGACAAAAAGAGGCCUCAGCAGGCCUGGCAGACCCUUCCAGUACAUCCCAAAGCGUGUCGAGCAGCUGGGAGAACCCGUGUCAAGCUUGACCCAUCACAGGUCCCCAUGAGGUGUCUGAAGCCCCUUCUUGGUGAUGGGAGGCAGAGGUGCUGAUAUUCUGGAGAAUGGACGCGAGUCCUCAGCUGGCUCCGCGUGGGCCCUUGGAGGGUGCAAGGUGUGUGGUGACCUUCUGGAGGCCUUUAACUUCAUGGCUGCAUCAUUCCUGAUUUAGAACUUUAACAGGAGCUUCAUCUAGUGAUUGAAAAACUGGACCAACGGGAGGAUGGCGGCGCAGCCCGGUCCCUCCGUGGAAUGGAGCUCUUCGGAGGCAUCAAAGCACCUGUCGCCGCCGUGGUUCCACUGCCGAGGGAGUGCGGGUUCCGCAAGGUUCGGGGGUGGCUUCGUUUGCCCGGAGUGGCCGGCCCUGCGUGUGCCGUGUGGAUGUUUGCGAGCCUCGGUCCCACAGCACUGUGUAGGCUGCAUCUGUUUCGUGCUGGUCCUGUUGACUUGUAUGAUAUCCACAAAUAAAUAUUUUCAUGGCA
Nomascus leucogenys (northern white-cheeked gibbon) is the source of this 1165-nucleotide RNA transcript. RefSeq lists it as uncharacterized. The record is from RefSeq and is a predicted model, not a curated record. The transcript has a single exon. NCBI's taxonomy places the organism in Eukaryota, Metazoa, Chordata, Mammalia, Primates, Hylobatidae.